AUUAUACCGCGAAACUGCGAAUGGCUCAUUAAAUCAGUUAUCGUCUAUUUGAUAGUACCUUACUACUUGGAUAACCGUGGUAAUUCUAGAGCUAAUACAUGCUGAAAACCCCGACUUCGGAAGGGAUGUAUUUAUUAGAUUAAAAGCCAAUGCCCUUCGGGGCUCCCUGGUGAUUCAUAAUAACUGCUCGAAUCGCACGGCCUUGCGCCGGCGAUGGUUCAUUCAAAUUUCUGCCCUAUCAACUUUCGACGGCUGGGUCUUGGCCAGCCGUGGUGACAACGGGUAACGGAGGGUUAGGGCUCGACCCCGGAGAAGGAGCCUGAGAAACGGCUACUACAUCCAAGGAAGGCAGCAGGCGCGCAAAUUACCCAAUCCCGACUCGGGGAGGUAGUGACAAUAAAUACUGAUACAGGGCUCUUUUGGGUCUUGUAAUUGGAAUGAGUACAAUUUAAUUCCCUUAACGAGGAACAAUUGGAGGGCAAGUCUGGUGCCAGCAGCCGCGGUAAUUCCAGCUCCAAUAGCGUAUAUUAAAGUUGUUGCAGUUAAAAAGCUCGUAGUUGAACCUUGGGCCUGGCUGGCCGGUCCGCCUCACCGCGUGCACUGGUCCGGCCGGGCCUUUCCCUCUGGGGAGCCGCAUGCCCUUCACUGGGCGUGUCGGGGAACCAGGACUUUUACUUUGAAAAAAUUAGAGUGUUCAAAGCAGGCUUAUGCUCGAAUACAUUAGCAUGGAAUAAUAGAAUAGGACGCGUGGUUCUAUUUUGUUGGUUUCUAGGACCGCCGUAAUGAUUAAUAGGGACAGUCGGGGGCAUCAGUAUUCAGUUGCGAGAGGUGAAAUUCUUGGACCAACUGAAGACUAACUACUGCGAAAGCAUUUGCCAAGGAUGUUUUCAUUAAUCAGGAACGAAAGUUAGGGGAUCGAAGACGAUCAGAUACCGUCGUAGUCUUAACCAUAAACUAUGCCGACUAGGGAUCGGGCGGUGUUAUCUUUUGACCCGCUCGGCACCUUGCACGAAAGUACAAGUU
RNAcentral lists this ribosomal RNA (1023 nucleotides) under Dryadomyces quercivorus. Its description in RNAcentral is "SSU rRNA". It matches the Rfam family "Eukaryotic small subunit ribosomal RNA", at positions 73 to 1105 of the family's 1831-position model. Lineage: Eukaryota; Fungi; Ascomycota; Sordariomycetes; Ophiostomatales; Ophiostomataceae. The record is from RNAcentral.